UGAGAGGCGUUCUGAUAGGUGAAGUGUCCUGUGUAAUUUGACUGAUAUAUAGUGAACGUGUGUGUGUGUGUGUGUGUGUACCUUAUUAUACCUUCGUAUGUAUGUGUGUUUGUGUGUGUUUAGCUUUGAGUGUUUGGCUUUUUAUUUUGAUUUUUUCUUUUUGGUGUGUAUGUUAGUGAAAGGGUUGAUUUUGCUUGUUUUUUUAAAUUUUUUAAAAUUAUUUUAAUUCUACCUAUUAAUUUUUAUAUCCAUCUACCUUCUUACCUACCUACCUACCUACCCACAUACCUACCUAUUAUCUACUUACCUACCUAUCCUCUACUUACCUACCUAUUUACCUACCUACCUGCCUGCCUACCUACUUAUCAUCAACCUACGUACCUACAUACCUCCUACCUAUUCUCUACCUACCUACCUGCCUGCCUGCCUACCUACCUACCUACCUGUCUGGGUAGCCUUGAUACCAGUGAUGUGUGGUCUAAAGGGUGAGGUGACAGCAGGGCCCACCCUCCCAUAUGAGACUCUUGGGGCUCAGUAUGUUAUUUUGAGGACCAUAGGCCAAGGAAGUUAUGGCCAGGUGAAAUUGGCUCACCACAGACUCACGGGCACAGCUGUGGCGAUAAAAGUCCUGCUGAAGGAGAGAACACAAUACUAUCCGAUCAGAACGGAAGUGGGGAUAUUGAAGAAGAUGAAC
RNAcentral lists this long non-coding RNA (694 nucleotides) under Rattus norvegicus (Norway rat). RNAcentral describes it as "long non-coding RNA NONRATT018394". Lineage: Eukaryota; Metazoa; Chordata; Mammalia; Rodentia; Muridae. The record is from RNAcentral.